This 256-nucleotide non-coding RNA is filed under the name Syntrophaceticus schinkii. Its description in RNAcentral is "Bacterial small subunit ribosomal RNA". It matches the Rfam family "Bacterial small subunit ribosomal RNA", at positions 1 to 240 of the family's 1533-position model. Lineage: Bacteria; Bacillati; Bacillota; Clostridia; Thermoanaerobacterales; Thermoanaerobacterales Family III. Incertae Sedis. The record is from Rfam by way of RNAcentral.
UUAACGGAGAGUUUGAUCCUGGCUCAGGACGAACGCGUGGCGGCGUGCUUAACACAUGCAAGUCGAACGGAGGAUGCGGGGAAAGCUUGCUUUCCUGCAAACUUAGUGGCGGACGGGGUGAGUAACGCGUGGAUAACCUGCCUGUAAGACUGGGAUAACACUGGGAAACCGGUGCUAAUACCGGAUAUACUGUAGAGUAGGCAUAUACUUUACAGGUAAAAGAUUAACCUCUGCUUACAGAUGGAUCCGCGUCCCA